AUAUCUCUCUGUACGGGAAGGAUGAGAAGCUUCGACUAAGGUUCGAUUCGAGCGCAGCGAGAAAGCGUUGCCGUAGGCAAC
This 81-nucleotide small RNA is filed under the name Salmonella enterica. RNAcentral describes it as "partial RtT sRNA". It matches the Rfam family "RtT RNA", at positions 1 to 80 of the family's 130-position model. Rfam says of the family: This family represents a bacterial cis-regulatory element known as RtT RNA. The exact function of RtT is unknown although it is thought that it may be involved in changing the cellular response in relation to amino acid starvation. Lineage: Bacteria; Pseudomonadati; Pseudomonadota; Gammaproteobacteria; Enterobacterales; Enterobacteriaceae. The record is from RNAcentral.